AGUUAAGCUAACCCGCAUACCGAAUUG
RNAcentral lists this small RNA (27 nucleotides) under Bombyx mori (domestic silkworm). Its description in RNAcentral is "ovarian small RNA-12311". The record is from RNAcentral. Lineage: Eukaryota; Metazoa; Arthropoda; Insecta; Lepidoptera; Bombycidae.